UUUUUAUGAGAGUUUGAUCCUGGCUCAGGACGAACGCUGGCGGCGUGCCUAAUACAUGCAAG
This 62-nucleotide ribosomal RNA is filed under the name Enterococcus faecium. RNAcentral describes it as "partial 16S ribosomal RNA". It matches the Rfam family "Bacterial small subunit ribosomal RNA", at positions 1 to 61 of the family's 1533-position model. The record is from RNAcentral. Lineage: Bacteria; Bacillati; Bacillota; Bacilli; Lactobacillales; Enterococcaceae. RNAcentral also lists the same sequence under 2 other names.